This is a non-coding RNA of Triticum aestivum (bread wheat), 125 nucleotides long. Lineage: Eukaryota; Viridiplantae; Streptophyta; Magnoliopsida; Poales; Poaceae. The record is from Rfam.
UACAUACUCCCUUCGUCCGGAAAUACUCGUCGGAGAAAUGGAUGUACCUUGACCUAUUUUAGUUCUAGGUACAUAUAUUUUUAUCUAUUUCUCUCACAAGUACUUUCGGACGGAGGGAGUACUAG